UACCAGCACCCCGAGUGGUCGGGACGUUUAUUGGGCCUAAAGCAUCCGUAGCCGGUUCUACAAGUCUUCCGUUAAAUCCACCUGCUUAACAGAUGGGCUGCGGAAGAUACUAUAGAGCUAGGAGACGGGAGAGGCAAGCGGUACUCGAUGGGUAGGGGUAAAAUCCGUUGAUCCAUUGAAGACCACCAGUGGCGAAGGCGGCUUGCCAGAACGCGCUCGACGGUGAGGGAUGAAAGCUGGGGGAGCAAACCGG
Molecule: ribosomal RNA, 253 nt
Filed under: uncultured bacterium
Lineage: Bacteria
Description: partial 16S ribosomal RNA
Rfam family: Archaeal small subunit ribosomal RNA
Source: RNAcentral